CUACGUGCCAGCAGCCGCGGUAAUACGUAGGGUGCGAGCGUUGUCCGGAAUUAUUGGGCGUAAAGGGCUUGUAGGCGGUUUGUCGCGUCUGCCGUGAAAUCCUCUGGCUUAACUGGGGGCGUGCGGUGGGUACGGGCAGACUUGAGUGCGGUAGGGGAGACUGGAACUCCUGGUGUAGCGGUGGAAUGCGCAGAUAUCAGGAAGAACACCGGUGGCGAAGGCGGGUCUCUGGGCCGUUACUGACGCUGAGGAGCGAAAGCGUGGGGAGCGAACAGGAUUAGAUACCCUGGUAGUCCACGCUGUAAACGUUGGGCACUAGGUGUGGGGGCCACCCGUGGUUUCUGCGCCGUAGCUAACGCUUUAAGUGCCCCGCCUGGGGAGUACGGCCGCAAGGCUAAAACUCAAAGGAAUUGACGGGGGCCCGCACAAGCGGCGGAGCAUGCGGAUUAAUUCGAUGCAACGCGAAGAACCUUACCAAGGCU
Molecule: ribosomal RNA, 482 nt
Filed under: uncultured bacterium
Lineage: Bacteria
Description: bacterial SSU rRNA
Rfam family: Bacterial small subunit ribosomal RNA
Source: RNAcentral